This 445-nucleotide ribosomal RNA is filed under the name uncultured bacterium. RNAcentral describes it as "partial 16S ribosomal RNA". It matches the Rfam family "Bacterial small subunit ribosomal RNA", at positions 354 to 796 of the family's 1533-position model. The record is from RNAcentral.
GUGAGGAAUAUUGGUCAAUGGACGAGAGUCUGAAUCAGCCAAGUCGCGUGAAGGAAGACGGUUCUAUGAAUUGUAAACUUCUUUUGUGCAGGAAUAAAGUGGGUUACGUGUAACCUUUUGUAUGUACUGUACGAAUAAGGAUCGGCUAACUCCGUGCCAGCAGCCGCGGUAAUACGGAGGAUCCGAGCGUUAUCCGGAUUUAUUGGGUUUAAAGGGUGCGUAGGUGGAUUGAUAAGUCAGCGGUGAAAGUUUGCAGCUUAACUGUAAAAUUGCCGUUGAAACUGUCGGUCUUGAGUGCAAAUGAGGUAGGCGGAAUGUGUUGUGUAGCGGUGAAAUGCUUAGAUAUAACACAGAACUCCGAUUGCGAAGGCAGCUUACUGGGAUGCAACUGACACUGAUGCACGAAAGCGUGGGUAUCAAACAGGAUUAGAUACCCUAGUAGUCC